RNAcentral lists this transfer RNA (73 nucleotides) under Corynebacterium sp. RNAcentral describes it as "tRNA-Arg". It matches the Rfam family "tRNA". From Rfam's summary of the family: Transfer RNA (tRNA) molecules are approximately 80 nucleotides in length. Their secondary structure includes four short double-helical elements and three loops (D, anti-codon, and T loops). RNAcentral also lists the same sequence under 21 other names. Lineage: Bacteria; Bacillati; Actinomycetota; Actinomycetes; Mycobacteriales; Corynebacteriaceae. The record is from RNAcentral.
GCCCCUAUAGCUCAGUGGAUAGAGCAGCGGGUUUCUACCCCGCGUGUCCCGGGUUCGAAUCCUGGUGGGGGCA